Long non-coding RNA from Camelus dromedarius (Arabian camel), 1498 nucleotides. RefSeq lists it as uncharacterized. NCBI's taxonomy places the organism in Eukaryota, Metazoa, Chordata, Mammalia, Artiodactyla, Camelidae. The record is from RefSeq and is a predicted model, not a curated record. The transcript has 6 exons.
UUCCCGUUGCACCGCUCGGAGAUUGAGCGCUCAGCCUGCCGCCGGGACCUCUUACGGCUGUUCCAGCGCGUUUACACAUUGCAAACAAAACGAGCGCUUAAGUGAGAAAUGUCUUGAGUUUUCAGCAGGGCCUAUCGCAAGGGUGCCAGGAAGCCAGUGGCCGGACCUCACAGUCACACAGUGGUACGCUGGGACCUACGUGGUUAUCACCAAAAUGAGGUUUCAAACCCACUGUCAUAUUGGGGAGAGGACGGAGAGGAAAGGGAAGCAAUAUUCAGAGGCCCGAUGCCAGGACCUGUGCUAGACCCUCGAAAGACAUUAGCUUAUUUCAUCCUCAGCAUGGACUGUAGCGUGGAGCUUAUAAUUCUCCUUUGACAAGGAAGGAAACAUGGACACAGCUACCUGAGCUGCAGAGCUGAGAUUUGAACUCUUGCUGGCCGCGCACAUCUAUUCUCCCAGCUCUGUGGGUUUGGCCAGAAGGACCUUGAAAUUUGUGGGCCUGGCCUCAAUCCCCAGCAUCCCGGUUGCCCGCCUUUGGAGAAUGGACAGCUCCUGGUCUUAGAAGGAUGAACUUGGUGUGCAGACUGGAGGGCUCAGUAGGCAAGAAAAUGCAUACAAUGGGACAAUGACAGAGCAAAGUUAAAAUGAACCUUGAAAUGAAGUUACUUCUCAAAAUGCAUGCAAUAAGAUUCUGUACAGAUGGGACAUACAUUUUGCUUUAGGCUUCAAAAGCCAUUGGAAAAAGGGAAACAGAAUCAGCUGUAGGUAUCUACAAGAGAUGAAGACACUUCUUCAGAAGUACACCUGUGAGACAGAAUGUUGUAGCUGACCUGGUUUUUCCCCCACAUGUUUAAUCUGAGAUACCAGGAGUCUGUUUCUUUCCAAGUUUACCAAGUGAAUGUUUGUCUGCAGAGUAAGUAAGUAAACACAUUGAACAAUCAUUAUUAAACAGUAUUCCUAAUGUAAUGAAAAUUGAAAGAAAUCCAAACUAGGCAUAUGCAUUUCAAGAAGUGAGUUGUGCCGAACGGAUCAAAUCGACAUCUGUUCAGGUGGAGGUGCAGCAGCCCUGGGAAUCAUCAGCCCCUGUCACUGGGGAUUCCUCAUCUGCUCAGCGCUGGAACUGGACGACACAGUUAGAAUUUAUUACGCUAUUUGUUUAUUUACGGUUUUCUAACAUUUUUUAAUGUGAACUUUUCAAACACACAGAAAAGUUGGAAAUAAUGUAUAGUGAACAAGCCAUCUACCCACCACAUAGAAUCUACAAUUAACAUUUUGUUAUACUGGGUUUAUCACAGAUCUAUCCAUCUAUCCAUGUUUGUCCAUCCUUCAAUCCAGCUUUUAAAAUACACAUUUCAAAAUAAGUUGCUGACAUCAGACACUUCUUCCUAAAUACUUCAGCAUACAUAGCAUUUAACUGGAUCUCAGUGUUGUUUACAGUUCUUGUUGGGGUUAAAUCUUUUAUAAUAUGAAUGUUUUUCGUUAAUAAAAUUUAUCCUGC